GAUAAAACAAAAUGGAGAAGAAAAAAUCUUUUUGAUUUUUCUUGAUAUAACGAAAACUUUAAUUGAUUGACAUUGCUCCUCUCCUAUGAAGACUGCUCGGGUGAUGGUUUCAUUCAACGAUCCUUAUUCUGGGUUACUUUUAUUAAUUUGAUGCACACUGAAGUUCCUAAGAAGACAGGCUUCUAAAUACGUUAUGUAAAAAAAUGGUGGAUAUGGGGAUAUUGGAUAUUUCCAAUGAUAUAUGGAAUGAAUGAACUUGCAGUUACCGAGUUGUUAGGGCAUAGUUUUGACAAGUUUUUAGGUUUCAGAGACGGGUCAAAUGAGCCGGAGGGAGUUGCUAACAACUUGAUAGGAUUCGGGAGAACCAUAUAUGUAAUAACCGCAAUGGAAAGGCGUCUAACUAGUAGACAUAGACAAGUACGGGUCGUUCCCACGAGGAGUGGUGGAAAUACUGUAAUCAAUAUUCUCAAUCGACUA
Molecule: long non-coding RNA, 477 nt
Organism: Papaver somniferum (opium poppy)
Lineage: Eukaryota; Viridiplantae; Streptophyta; Magnoliopsida; Ranunculales; Papaveraceae
Exons: 5
Source: RefSeq, a predicted model, not a curated record